RNAcentral lists this long non-coding RNA (514 nucleotides) under Mustela putorius furo (domestic ferret). RNAcentral describes it as "lncRNA (ENSMPUG00000026573.1)". The record is from RNAcentral. Lineage: Eukaryota; Metazoa; Chordata; Mammalia; Carnivora; Mustelidae.
CAGGCAAGCUCCAGUAAUGGGUACAAAUCACACAUGAAGUGAUCAAUGGUAUUGGGGCCAUAGAAGGGCCGGUGGAGAGUAAAGAAAAAUUUUGUCAGGGAAUGCAGAAAACUCGCCAUCCAGUCUAUACCAUCAGAAUGCCACAGAGCCUAUAGCUCAUGAUGGUUGUGUAGUGUAGGGGCUUACAGAUGGCCACAUAGUGAUCAUAAGCAAUGGCUCUGAGGACAAUCACCUCCAGCCCAGCAAAGAAGUGUUCAGCAAAGAGCUGGGUCAAGCAAUCUCAAUGGAGAUGGCUUUCGUCUCAUAGAGAGAGUCCACAAUCAUCUUGCGGGGCAAUGACAGUGGAGAAGCAGGCAUCCAGGAAGGACAGGAAAGCCAAGAAAAAGGAACAAGCCUUUUCCUCUCCUUGCAAGAAUGAAGAGCAGGUUGGCCUUUCAACUCUCCACCCAGCUGUAGAGGUUUAAGCCUUCUGAUUCCCUUGUUCAUGUUUGGAUGAGGCCUUUUGAUGAAGAAC